AGACCAGUUGAUGUUCAGCUG
RNAcentral lists this microRNA (21 nucleotides) under Oreochromis niloticus (Nile tilapia). RNAcentral describes it as "oni-miR-10685". Lineage: Eukaryota; Metazoa; Chordata; Actinopteri; Cichliformes; Cichlidae. The record is from miRBase by way of RNAcentral.